This 336-nucleotide ribosomal RNA is filed under the name Salmonella enterica subsp. enterica serovar Infantis. RNAcentral describes it as "partial 23S ribosomal RNA". It matches the Rfam family "Bacterial large subunit ribosomal RNA", at positions 2607 to 2925 of the family's 2925-position model. Lineage: Bacteria; Pseudomonadati; Pseudomonadota; Gammaproteobacteria; Enterobacterales; Enterobacteriaceae. The record is from RNAcentral.
GGGUUUAGAACGUCGUGAGACAGUUCGGUCCCUAUCUGCCGUGGGCGCUGGAGAACUGAGGGGGGCUGCUCCUAGUACGAGAGGACCGGAGUGGACGCAUCACUGGUGUUCGGGUUGUCAUGCCAAUGGCACUGCCCGGUAGCUAAAUGCGGAAGAGAUAAGUGCUGAAAGCAUCUAAGCACGAAACUUGCCCCGAGAUGAGUUCUCCCUGAGACUUAAAGUCUCCUGAAGGAACGUUGAAGACGACGACGUUGAUAGGCCGGGUGUGUAAGCGCAGCGAUGCGUUGAGCUAACCGGUACUAAUGAACCGUGAGGCUUAACCUUACAACGCCGAAG